UAUUCCUUCAGGUUGGAGUUCAGCUGAUGGGAAAAGUGAAAAAGCUAAAAGUGCACCUUCAAGAGACCCAGAAAAACUUCAGAAAAUCAAAGAAAGCCUCCUCUUAGAGGACUCUGAUGAAGAAGAAGAAGGGGACUUAUGUAGAAUUUGCCAGAUGGCAGCAGCGUCAUCAUCUAAUUUAUUGAUAGAGCCAUGCAAAUGCACUGGGAGUCUGCAGUAUGUCCAUCAAGAGUGUAUGAAGAAGUGGUUACAGGCCAAAAUUAAUUCUGGUUCUUCAUUAGAGGCUGUAACCACCUGUGAACUCUGUAAAGAGAAGUUGCAACUUAACCUGGAGGAUUUUGAUAUUCAUGAACUACAUAGAGCUCAUGCAAAUGAACAAGUUAGUAUAUUUUGCCUAAUUUGGUAAGUGUCUGUUGUGUGCUUAAAGGACAGCUCUUGAAGAAAAGAUUAAGUCAUGGUCAGAAAACCUAAAUUAAAAAUAUUCUUACUAUAAUUUGUAAGAUGAGAAGUUUAUAAUUUCAUUAGAAAAUUCUCUUUAAAUAAAAGAUUAAGAUAAACUGUCAGGCUUCAUAAAUAAACCUAAAAAUUUGGAAAUUGGGCUCAAAGUAGGCAUUGCCAACCUUAUCUCUCCAGUACUGGUUGAAUGAUCUGGUUGGAAGAAACAACCUUGGUUUUUUGGGGUUUUUUUCCUUGUUGAGGGAAUUCUGAGAGAAGCAUACAUGUUCAAGGGAAGUAUGAGGAUGAUUUCAUCCCAACAAAAAUAAAUCCACUAAGCGAUUCCUUGCUUGCUUCUCUCAGUCACCUGCCAAUGCUGUUCCGUUGUUGGGUGGGUGGGUGGU
This 839-nucleotide long non-coding RNA is filed under the name Rattus norvegicus (Norway rat). RNAcentral's name for it is "long non-coding RNA NONRATT018167". The record is from RNAcentral. Lineage: Eukaryota; Metazoa; Chordata; Mammalia; Rodentia; Muridae.